This is a transfer RNA of 78 nucleotides. It matches the Rfam family "tRNA". Rfam says of the family: Transfer RNA (tRNA) molecules are approximately 80 nucleotides in length.
GCGGCUGUAGUCCAGCCUGGUCUAGGACCUUGGCCUCCCAAGCCAGAAACGCGGGUUCAAAUCCCGCCAGCCGCACCA